Molecule: small nuclear RNA, 156 nt
Organism: Rhipicephalus microplus (southern cattle tick)
Lineage: Eukaryota; Metazoa; Arthropoda; Arachnida; Ixodida; Ixodidae
Product: U1 spliceosomal RNA
Source: RefSeq, a predicted model, not a curated record
ACAUGUACCUCUUGUCGAGCUGUUCGGUGAUCAUAAAGGCCGAGGCUCCGUGCCGAGGCGGACCAUAGCACUGCGGUUCGCUGUAGCACGCCUCUAUCCCAAACUGGGAUAGCUGGGGCACAUAAUUUUUGGUAGUGGGGUUGGUUCCAGCCCCAU